RNAcentral lists this ribosomal RNA (460 nucleotides) under uncultured bacterium. RNAcentral describes it as "partial 16S ribosomal RNA". It matches the Rfam family "Bacterial small subunit ribosomal RNA", at positions 338 to 795 of the family's 1533-position model. The record is from RNAcentral.
CCUACGGGUGGCAGCAGUGAGGAAUAUUGGUCAAUGGACGAGAGUCUGAACCAGCCAAGUAGCGUGAAGGAUGACUGCCCUAUGGGUUGUAAACUUCUUUUAUAUGGGAAUAAAAUGUUCCACGUGUGGGUUUUUGUAUGUACCAUAUGAAUAAGGAUCGGCUAACUCCGUGCCAGCAGCCGCGGUAAUACGGAGGAUCCGAGCGUUAUCCGGAUUUAUUGGGUUUAAAGGGAGCGUAGGUGGGUUGUUAAGUCAGUUGUGAAAGUUUGCGGCUCAACCGCAAAAUUGCAGUUGAAACUGGGAGCCUUGAGUACAGUGGAGGUAGGCGGAAUGCGUGGUGUAGCGGUGAAAUGCUUAGAUAUCACGAAGAACCCCGAUUGCGAAGGCAGCUCACUGGACUGCAACUGACACUGAGGCUCGAAAGUGUGGGUAUCAAACAGGAUUAGAUACCCUUGUAGUC